Molecule: ribosomal RNA, 1535 nt
Filed under: uncultured bacterium
Lineage: Bacteria
Description: partial 16S ribosomal RNA
Rfam family: Bacterial small subunit ribosomal RNA
Source: RNAcentral
UAGAGUUUGAUCAUGGCUCAGGACGAACGCUGGCGGCGUGCCUAAUACAUGCAAGUCGAGCGAGCUUGCCUAGAUGAUUUUAGUGCUUGCACUAAAUGAAACUAGAUACAAGCGAGCGGCGGACGGGUGAGUAACACGUGGGUAACCUGCCCAAGAGACUGGGAUAACACCUGGAAACAGGUGCUAAUACCGGAUAACAACACUAGACGCAUGUCUAGAGUUUGAAAGAUGGUUCUGCUAUCACUCUUGGAUGGACCUGCGGUGCAUUAGCUAGUUGGUAAGGUAACGGCUUACCAAGGCAAUGAUGCAUAGCCGAGUUGAGAGACUGAUCGGCCACAUUGGGACUGAGACACGGCCCAAACUCCUACGGGAGGCAGCAGUAGGGAAUCUUCCACAAUGGACGAAAGUCUGAUGGAGCAACGCCGCGUGAGUGAAGAAGGGUUUCGGCUCGUAAAGCUCUGUUGGUAGUGAAGAAAGAUAGAGGUAGUAACUGGCCUUUAUUUGACGGUAAUUACUUAGAAAGUCACGGCUAACUACGUGCCAGCAGCCGCGGUAAUACGUAGGUGGCAAGCGUUGUCCGGAUUUAUUGGGCGUAAAGCGAGUGCAGGCGGUUCAAUAAGUCUGAUGUGAAAGCCUUCGGCUCAACCGGAGAAUUGCAUCAGAAACUGUUGAACUUGAGUGCAGAAGAGGAGAGUGGGACUCCAUGUGUAGCGGUGGAAUGCGUAGAUAUAUGGAAGAACACCAGUGGCGAAGGCGGCUCUCUGGUCUGCAACUGACGCUGAGGCUCGAAAGCAUGGGUAGCGAACAGGAUUAGAUACCCUGGUAGUCCACGCUGUAAACGAUGAUUACUAGGUGUGGGGGGACUGAACCCUUCCGUGCCGCAGUUAACACAAUAAGUAAUCCACCUGGGGAGUACGGCCGCAAGGCUGAAACUCAAAGGAAUUGACGGGGGCCCGCACAAGCAGUGGAGUAUGUGGUUUAAUUCGAAGCAACGCGAAGAACCUUACCAGGUCUUGACAUCUCCUGAAUAGCCUAGAGAUAGGUGAAGCCCUUCGGGGCAGGAAGACAGGUGGUGCAUGGUUGUCGUCAGCUCGUGUCGUGAGAUGUUGGGUUAAGUCCCGCAACGAGCGCAACCCUCAUAUACAGUUGCCAUCAUUCAGUUGGGAACUCUGUAUAGACUGCCGUGGUUAACACGGAGGAAGGUGGGGAUGACGUCAAAUCAUCACGGCCCUUACGGCCUGGGCUACACACGUGCUACAAUGGCUAUUACAAAGAGUUGCAAUAUGGUAACAUGGAGCGAAUCUCAAAAAGAUAGUCUCAGUUCGGACUGUGGGCUGCAACCCGCCCACACGAAGUCGGAGUUGCUAGUAAUCCCGAAUCAGCAUGUCGGGGUGAAUGCGUUCCCGGGUCUUGUACACACCGCCCGUCAAGCCAUGGGAGUCGGGAGUGCCCGAAGUCGGUGACCUAACCGUAAGGAAGGAGCCGCCUAAGGUAAUACCGAUGACUGGGGUUAAGUCGUAACAAGGUAACCGUAA